RNAcentral lists this unclassified non-coding RNA (171 nucleotides) under soil metagenome. RNAcentral's name for it is "partial contains 5.8S ribosomal RNA, internal transcribed spacer 2, and large subunit ribosomal RNA". The record is from RNAcentral.
AACAUCGCGCACCUGCGGGAACCUGCGGAGGGAUCAUUAAAGAUUGACCGAAAGGUCUUAUCUCUAUAUCCCUCACCUCUGUGAACUGUGGACCUCCGGGUCUAUUUAACAAACAUCAGUGUAAUGAACGUAUAUAUCAUUAAACAAAACAAAACUUUCAACAAUGGAUCU